CAGUAGCCGCGGUAAUACGGAGGGUGCAAGCGUUAAUCGGAAUUACUGGGCGUAAAGCGUGCGUAGGCGGUUCGUUAAGUCCGCUGUGAAAGCCCCGGGCUCAACCUGGGAAUGGCAAUGGAUACUGGCGAGCUAGAGUGUGUCAGAGGAUGGUGGAAUUCCCGGUGUAGCGGUGAAAUGCGUAGAGAUCGGGAGGAACAUCAGUGGCGAAGGCGGCCAUCUGGGACAACACUGACGCUGAGGCACGAAAGCGUGGGGAGCAAACAGGAUUAGAUACCCCCGUAGUCCCUGUCUCUUAUAA
Molecule: ribosomal RNA, 301 nt
Filed under: uncultured bacterium
Lineage: Bacteria
Description: partial 16S ribosomal RNA
Rfam family: Bacterial small subunit ribosomal RNA
Source: RNAcentral